This 460-nucleotide ribosomal RNA is filed under the name uncultured bacterium. RNAcentral's name for it is "partial 16S ribosomal RNA". It matches the Rfam family "Bacterial small subunit ribosomal RNA", at positions 338 to 795 of the family's 1533-position model. The record is from RNAcentral.
CCUACGGGAGGCAGCAGUGAGGAAUAUUGGUCAAUGGACGCGAGUCUGAACCAGCCAAGUCGCGUGAAGGAUGACUGCCCUAUGGUUUGUAAACUUCUUUUAUAUGGGAAUAAACUGUUCCACGUGUGGGUUUUUGUAUGUACCCUAUGAAUAAGCAUCGGCUAACUCCGUGCCAGCAGCCGCGGUAAUACGGAGGAUCCGAGCGUUAUCCGGAUUUAUUGGGUUUAAAGGGAGCGUAGGUGGAUUGUUAAGUCAGUUGUGAAAGUUUGCGGCUCAACCGUAAAAUUGCAGUUGAAACUGGCAGUCUUGAGUGCAGUAGAGGUGGGCGGAAUGCGUGGUGUAGCGGUGAAAUGCUUAGAUAUCACGAAGAACUCCGAUUGCGAAGGCAGCUCACUGGACUGCAACUGACACUGAGGCACGAAAGUGUGGGUAUCAAACAGGAUUAGAUACCCCAGUAGUC